UACCGCGGUUAUACGAGAGGCCCUAGUUGAUAGCUACGGCGUAAAGGGUGGUUAGGGAUAACUAUUAACUAAAGCCAAAGACCUCCCAAGCUGUCAUACGAUCGGAGGCACGAAGUCCUAACACGAAAGUAGCUUUAUUACCCCUUGACCCCACGAAAGCUAAGAAA
RNAcentral lists this ribosomal RNA (167 nucleotides) under Brycon sp. NS 66. RNAcentral describes it as "partial small subunit ribosomal RNA". RNAcentral also lists the same sequence under 1 other name. The record is from RNAcentral. Lineage: Eukaryota; Metazoa; Chordata; Actinopteri; Characiformes; Bryconidae.